CCUACGGGGGCAGCAGUGGGGAAUAUUGGACAAUGGGCGAAAGCCUGAUCCAGCCAUGCCGCGUGUGUGAAGAAGGCCUUCGGGUGGUAAAACACUUUCAGGGGGGAAGAAAGCCUUGGGGCUAAUACCCUCGAGGAAGGACAUCACCCACAGAAGAAGCACCGGCUAACUCCGUGCCAGCAGCCGCGGUAAUACGGAGGGUGCGAGCGUUAAUCGGAAUUACUGGGCGUAAAGCGCGCGUAGGCGGUCUGAUAAGCCGGUUGUGAAAGCCCCGGGCUCAACCUGGGAACGGCAUCCGGAACUGUCAGGCUAGAGUGAAGGGGAGGAAGGUAGAAUUCCCGGUGUAGCGGUGAAAUGCGUAGAGAUCGGGAGGAAUACCAGUGGCGAAGGCGGCCUUCUGGACUGACACUGACGCUGAGGUGCGAAAGCGUGGGUAGCAAACAGGAUUAGAUACCCUGGUAGUC
RNAcentral lists this ribosomal RNA (464 nucleotides) under Vreelandella stevensii. RNAcentral describes it as "partial 16S ribosomal RNA". It matches the Rfam family "Bacterial small subunit ribosomal RNA", at positions 338 to 795 of the family's 1533-position model. Lineage: Bacteria; Pseudomonadati; Pseudomonadota; Gammaproteobacteria; Oceanospirillales; Halomonadaceae. The record is from RNAcentral.